AGCAGCCGCGGUAAUUUCAGCUCCAAUAGCGUAUAUUAAAGUUGUUGCAGUUAAAAAGCUCGUAGUUGAAUUUCGGGGUCAGCAGGUUGGUCGUGCCUCUGGUACGCACUGGUUUCGCUGAUUCCUCCUUUCUGAAGAACUGUAAUGUCAUUAAUUUGGUGUUGCAGGGAAACAGGACUGUUACUUUGAAAAAAUUAGAGUGUUUAAAGCAAGCUAACGCUUGAAUACAUUAGCAUGGAAUAAUGAAAUAGGACGUUUGAUCCUAUUUUGUUGGUUUCUAGGAUUGACGUAAUGAUUAAUAGGGAUAGUUGGGGGCAUUAGUAUUCAAUUGUCAGAGGUGAAAUUCUUGGAUUUAUUGAAGACUAACUACUGCGAAAGCAUUUGCCAAGGAUGUUUUCAUUAAUCAAGAACGAAAGUUAGGGGAUCGAAGACGAUCAGAUACCGUCGUAGUCUUAACCAUAAACUAUGCCGACUAGGGAUCGGAUGAUGUUAAUUUUUUAAUGACUCA
Molecule: ribosomal RNA, 508 nt
Filed under: uncultured Glomeromycotina
Lineage: Eukaryota; Fungi; Glomeromycota
Description: SSU rRNA
Rfam family: Eukaryotic small subunit ribosomal RNA
Source: RNAcentral